Molecule: ribosomal RNA, 253 nt
Filed under: uncultured bacterium
Lineage: Bacteria
Description: partial 16S ribosomal RNA
Rfam family: Bacterial small subunit ribosomal RNA
Source: RNAcentral
UACGGGGGGGGCGAGCGUUGUUCGGAAUUACUGGGCGUAAAGGGCGCGUAGGCGGUCUGCUAAGUUGGAUGUGAAAACUCUGGGCUUAACCCAGAGCCUGCAUUCAAUACUGACAGGCUAGAGUUCUGGAGGGGAUAGCGGAAUUCCUGGUGUAGCGGUGAAAUGCGUAGAUAUCAGGAGGAACACCGGUGGCGAAGGCGGCUAUCUGGACAGAGACUGACGCUGAGGCGCGAAAGCUAGGGGAGCAAACAGG